GAUGAACGCUGGCGGCGUGCCUAAUACAUGCAAGUCGAGCGAACAGACGAGGAGCUUGCUCCUCUGACGUUAGCGGCGGACGGGUGAGUAACACGUGGAUAACCUACCUAUAAGACUGGGAUAACUUCGGGAAACCGGAGCUAAAACCGGAUAAUAUAUUGAACCGCAUGGUUCAAUAGUGAAAGACGGUUUUGCUGUCACUUAUAGAUGGAUCCGCGCCGCAUUAGCUAGUUGGUAAGGUAACGGCUUACCAAGGCAACGAUGCGUAGCCGACCUGAGAGGGUGAUCGGCCACACUGGAACUGAGACACGGUCCAGACUCCUACGGGAGGCAGCAGUAGGGAAUCUUCCGAAAUGGGCGAAAGCCUGACGGAGCAACGCCGCGUGAGUGAUGAAGGUCUUCGGAUCGUAAAACUCUGUUAUUAGGGAAGAACAAAUGUGUAAGUAACUAUGCACGUCUUGACGGUACCUAAUCAGAAAGCCACGGCUAACUACGUG
RNAcentral lists this ribosomal RNA (497 nucleotides) under uncultured bacterium. RNAcentral's name for it is "partial 16S ribosomal RNA". It matches the Rfam family "Bacterial small subunit ribosomal RNA", at positions 28 to 507 of the family's 1533-position model. The record is from RNAcentral.